AACGCUGGCGGCAGGCCUAACACAUGCAAGUCGAACGGUAACAGGAAGAAGCUUGCUUCUUUGCUGACGAGUGGCGGACGGGUGAGUAAUGUCUGGGAAACUGCCUGAUGGAGGGGGAUAACUACUGGAAACGGGAGCUAAUACCGCAUAACGUCGCAAGACCAAAGAGGGGGACCUUCGGGCCUCUUGCCAUCGGAUGUGCCCAGAUGGGAUUAGCUAGUAGGUGGGGUAAAGGCUCACCUAGGCGACGAUCCCUAGCUGGUCUGAGAGGAUGACCAGCCACACUGGAACUGAGACACGGUCCAGACUCCUACGGGAGGCAGCAGUGGGGAAUAUUGCACAAUGGGCGCAAGCCUGAUGCAGCCAUGCCGCGUGUAUGAAGAAGGCCUUCGGGUUGUAAAGUACUUUCAGCGGGGAGGAAGGGAGUAAAGUUAAUACCUUUGCUCAUUGACGUUACCCGCAGAAGAAGCACCGGCUAACUCCGUGCCAGCAGCCGCGGUAAUACGGAGGGUGCAAGCGUUGAUCGGAAUUACUGGGCGUAAAGCGCACGCAGGCGGUUUGUUAAGUCAGAUGUGAAAUCCCCGGGCUCAACCUGGGAACUGCAUCUGAUACUGGCAAGCUUGAGUCUCGUAGAGGGGGGUAGAAUUCCAGGUGUAGCGGUGAAAUGCGUAGAGAUCUGGAGGAAUACCGGUGGCGAAGGCGGCCCCCUGGACGAAGACUGACGCUCAGGUGCGAAAGCGUGGGGAGCAAACAGGAUUAGAUACCCUGGUAGUCCACGCCGUAAACGAUGUCGACUUGGAGGUUGUGCCCUUGAGGCGUGGCUUCCGGAGCUAACGCGUUAAGUCGACCGCCUGGGGAGUACGGCCGCAAGGUUAAAACUCAAAUGAAUUGACGGGGGCCCGCACAAGCGGUGGAGCAUGUGGUUUAAUUCGAUGCAACGUGAAGAACCUUACCUGGUCUUGACAUCCACAGAACCUUGUAGAGAUACGAGGGUGCCUUCGGGAACUGUGAGACAGGUGCUGCAUGGCUGUCGUCAGCUCGUGUUGUGAAAUGUUGGGUUAAGUCCCGCAACGAGCGCAACCCUUAUCCUUUGUUGCCAGCGGUCCGGCCGGGAACUCAAAGGAGACUGCCAGUGAUAAACUGGAGGAAGGUGGGGAUGACGUCAAGUCAUCAUGGCCCUUACGACCAGGGCUACACACGUGCUACAAUGGCGCAUACAAAGAGAAGCGACCUCGCGAGAGCAAGCGGACCUCAUAAAGUGCGUCGUAGUCCGGAUUGGAGUCUGCAACUCGACUCCAUGAAGUCGGAAUCGCUAGUAAUCGUGGAUCAGAAUGCCACGGUGAAUACGUUCCCGGGCCUUGUACACACCGCCCGUCACACCAUGGGAGUGGGUUGCAAAAGAAGUAGGUAGCUUAACCUUCGGGAGGGCGCUUACCACUUUGUGAUUCAUGACUGGGGUGAAGU
RNAcentral lists this ribosomal RNA (1464 nucleotides) under uncultured organism. RNAcentral describes it as "SSU rRNA". It matches the Rfam family "Bacterial small subunit ribosomal RNA". The record is from RNAcentral.